Molecule: ribosomal RNA, 327 nt
Filed under: uncultured eukaryote
Lineage: Eukaryota
Description: partial 18S ribosomal RNA
Rfam family: Eukaryotic small subunit ribosomal RNA
Source: RNAcentral
CCCUUAGAUGUCCUGGGCCGCACGCGCGUUACACUGAUGCAUUCAACGAGCUUAUAACCUUGGCCGAGAGGCCUGGGCAAUCUUGUUAACGUGCAUCGUGAUAGGGAUAGAUUAUUGAAAUUAUUAAUCUUGAACGAGGAACUCCUAGUAAACGCAGAUCAUCAAUCUGCAUUGAUUACGUCCCUGCCCUUUGUACACACCGCCCGUCGCACCUACCGAUUGGAUGGUCCGGUGAAGCCUCGGGAUUGUGGUUCUUGCCGCUUAUUGUGGCGUGACCGCGAGAACUUGUCUAAACCUUAUCAUCUAGAGGAAGGUGAAGUCGUAACA